RNAcentral lists this ribosomal RNA (392 nucleotides) under uncultured bacterium. Its description in RNAcentral is "bacterial SSU rRNA". It matches the Rfam family "Bacterial small subunit ribosomal RNA", at positions 38 to 448 of the family's 1533-position model. The record is from RNAcentral.
CCACGCGGCGGCAGGCUACCAUGCUAUCGAGCGAGAAGCUACUUCGGUUAGUGGACAGCGGCGCACGGGUGAGUAACGCGUGGGAAUUUACCUUUCGGCGGGGGACAACAGUUGGAAACGACUGCUAAUACCGCAUACGCCCUACGGGGGAAAGAUUUAUCACCGAAAGAUAGGCCCGCGUUAGAUUAGGUAGUUGGUAGGGUCAAAGCCUACCAAGCCGACGAUCUAUAGCUGGUUUGAGAGAACGAUCAGCCACACUGGAACUGAGACACGGUCCAGACUCCUACGGGAGGCAGCAGUGGGGAAUCUUGCACAAUGGGCGAAAGCCUGAUGCAGCCAUGCCGCGUGAGUGAGAAGGCCUUCGGGUUGUAAAACUCUUUUAGAUGUGACGA